CCUACGGGGGACAGCAGUGAGGAAUAUUGGUCAAUGGGCGCAAGCCUGAACCAGCCAAGUCGCGUGAAGGAUGAAGGCCCUAUGGUUGGUAAACUUCUUUUAUAUGGGAAUAAAUUUCCGUAAGCCUACUGCUUCGCAUGUACCAUAUGAAUAAGGAUCGGCUAACUCCGUGCCAGCAGCCGCGGUAAUACGGAGGAUCCGAGCGUUAUCCGGAUUUAUUGGGUUUAAAGGGGGCGUAGGCGGACGCUUAAGUCAGUUGUGAAAGUUUGCGGCUCAACCGUAAAAUUGCUGUUGAUACUGGGUGUCUUGAGUGCAGCAGAGGCAGGCGGAAUGCGUGGUGUAGCGGUGAAAUGCUUAGAUAUCGCGAAGAACACCGAUUGCGAAGGCAGCUUGCUGGACAGUAACUGACGCUGAUGCUCGAAAGUGUGGGGAUCAAACAGGAUUAGAUACCCGAGUAGUC
Molecule: ribosomal RNA, 460 nt
Filed under: uncultured bacterium
Lineage: Bacteria
Description: partial 16S ribosomal RNA
Rfam family: Bacterial small subunit ribosomal RNA
Source: RNAcentral